This 2101-nucleotide ribosomal RNA is filed under the name marine sediment metagenome. RNAcentral describes it as "bacterial LSU rRNA". It matches the Rfam family "Bacterial large subunit ribosomal RNA", at positions 100 to 2092 of the family's 2925-position model. The record is from RNAcentral.
UGAUCCGGGGAUUUCCGAAUGGGGGAACCCAGUUGGGGUCAUGCCCAGCUACUGCCGGCUGAAUAAAAUAGGCCGGUUGGAGCCAACGGGGUGAACUGAACCAUCUAAGUAACCCUAGGAAGAGAAAGAAAAAUCGAUUUCCUGAGUAGCGGCGAGCGAAAGGGAAACAGCCCAAACCGGUGUGUACGUUAAGCGUGCGCGCGUUGUACAUCCGGGGUUGCGGGGCUCAUUUGGACUGCCGCGCACGGCGGUCGGGGAGUCAAAAACCGUGUUUCUAGCCGAAGCGACUGGAAAGUCGCGCCAUAGAGGGUGAGAGUCCUGUAGGCGAAAGGAAUGCGGCUCCCUGAUUUGAGUUCCCAAGUACCGCGGGACACGUGAAAUCCUGUGGGAAACUGGAGGGACCACCCUCCAAGGCUAAAUACUCACUGGCGACCGAUAGUGAACUAGUACCGUGAGGGAAAGGUGAAAAGUACUCCUGGCGGAGAGUGAAAUAGUACCUGAAACCAUACGCUUACAAGCGGUCGGAGCCAUAUCCGGGAUCCUUCGGGAACCCGGUGAGGUGACGGCGUGCCUUUUGCAUAAUGAUCCGGCGAGUUACCUUAUGUGGCAAGGUUAAGGAGUUCAGCUCUGAAGCCGUAGCGAAAGCAAGUCUUAACUGGGCGAUUAGUCGCAUGGGGUAUGACCCGAAACCAGGUGAUCUACCCAUGGCCAGGUUGAAGCGCAUGUAACAGUGCGUGGAGGACCGAACCCACUGAAGUUGAAAAUUCAGGGGAUGGGCUGUGGGUAGGGGUGAAAGGCCAAUCAAACCUGGCGAUAGCUGGUUCUCCCCGAAAUAACUUUAGGGUUAGCCUCGGGCUAAUAUGUGGCGGGGGUAGAGCACUGAUUGGGCUAGGGGGCCUCCAAGCCUACCAACCCCAGUCAAACUCCGAAUACCGCACACAGGUACCCCGGGAGAUAGGGCGCGUGGGAUAAGCUUCGCGUCCGAGAGGGAAAGAACCCAGACCGCCAGCGAAGGCCCCAAAGUUCAGGCUAAGUGGACUAAAGGAUGUGGAACUGCACAGACAGCUAGGAUGUUGGCUUAGAAGCAGCCACCAUUUAAAGAGUGCGUAACAGCUCACUAGUCAAGUGAUUCCGCGCCGAAAAUACUCGGGACUCAAGCCUGACGCCGAAGCUGCGGACUCGUUGAUCCUUCGGGUGAAGCGAGUGGUAGGGGAGCGUUCUGUACUGGUAGAAGGUGAUCUGACAAGGAUUGCUGGACGGUACAGAAGUGAGUAUGCCGGAACGAGUAGCGAGAAAAUGGGCGAGAAACCCAUUCACCGAAAGCCUAAGGUUUCCUGAGGAAGGUUAAUCCGCUCAGGGUUAGUCGGACCCUUAGCCGAGGCCGAAAGGCGUAGGCGAUGGAAAACAGGCUAACAUUCCUGUACCACUGGUGAGGCGUUUGACCUAUGGGGUGACGCAGAAGUGAAAGGCCAGCCGGGUGUCGGUUAUCCCGGUCUAAGCAAGUAGGGAGUUUCUCCAGGCAAAUCCGGAGAGACAAUCCCGAGAUGCGAUGGGGAGGGCAUUAAGCCCAUAAACUGGCCCUAAUCAUGCUGCCGAGAAAAACCUCUAUGGGAGUCGAUCCGGUGCCCGUACCGUAAACGGACACACGUAGGCGGGGUGAGAAUCCUAAGGUGCUCGAGUGAUUCUUCGCGAAGGAACUCGGCAAAAUGACCGCGUAACUUCGGGAUAAGCGGUGCCCAUCUGGGCGAAGGACUUCGCGUCCGGAGUUUGGGUGGGCCGCAGAGAAAUGGCCCAGGCGACUGUUUACUAAAAACAUAGGUCUCUGCUAAGUCGAUGAGGCGAUGUAUAGGGACUGACACCUGCCCGGUGCCGGAAGGUUAAGGGGCGGGGUUAGCAUGAUUUAUUGUGCGAAGCUCUAAACUGAAGCCCCGGUAAACGGCGGCCGUAACUAUAACGGUCCUAAGGUAGCGAAAUUCCUUGUCGGGUAAGUUCCGACCUGCACGAAUGGCGUAACGAUCUGAGCAUUGUCUCGAGGGUGGUCCCGGUGAAGUUGUAUUACCAGUGAAGAUGCUGGUUACCCGCAAAAGGACGGAAAGACCCC